Molecule: long non-coding RNA, 1200 nt
Filed under: Strigops habroptila (Kakapo)
Lineage: Eukaryota; Metazoa; Chordata; Aves; Psittaciformes; Psittacidae
Description: lncRNA (ENSSHBG00005016675.1)
Source: RNAcentral
UUUUUUUUUUAUUUAAGAUAAAGUGCUAUAUGACUGGCUCACAUUGUCAAGCUUUUCAGGCUAAAUAUUAAAUAAUUUGGAGGAAAGUAAUUGCUUAGAGCAUCAUUUUAAGUUGUACUGUUAACCUCAUCUUACAGUGUACAGGAAACCUUUGCAUAUGAUUAAAUACUGUUUAUAACAGAAUCACAGAAUAGUUGAGGUUGGAGGGGACCUCUGAAGAUCUUCUGGUCCAACCCCACUGCUCAAGCGAGGCUGUCUAGAGCCUGUUGCCCAGGACUGUGUUCAAAUGGCUUUUGAGUAUCUUCAAAGAUGAACAUGUACGUCUAAAGAUGCAUUUAAAAUCAGCCCGAAUCUUUUUUUAAUUCCCAAGGCUUACUUCUGCAUUGACCCCUUUUCUUUCUUCUCUAGCAUAUCAGGCUGUAUGUGGAAACAAGAGGAACAACAUUUGAUUCUAAGCUUUCCUAGGGAGAAAUUUUUAAAGUGAAAUCAUGCAAAGGCAGUAACGACUCUUCAAUGCUGUUUAUUCUGAAUACAGAAAUUCCAAUAAAGCCCUUUUUCAGGCAUAUCGGGUUUUAUGCUUGGUCUGUUUGGAUCUUUGGUUCAAAUGGAGGAAUUGUAGGAGGCCUUUGACUGAGAUGUCUGAGAUUGCCCAGAAGGGCUGAAUUCAUUGCAGAUCAUAAAUGCCCUCUUCUUGCCAAUAUCUAGAAUGAAGGACACUGGACUAAAGUGUGCAAACUAGUUGAAGGUGUUUUUACAUUUUUCAGAUAAUAGCCUUUGGGAUGGCAGUCAAGAAGCACAAAAGUUAUAAUAGUGAACUGUUAUGUGAAUGGUACCAUUUAGAAAUAUCACUGUGUCUAAUCUUUCGUCAAGACAGCUGACUUCAAUUUUAUUAUCAUACUUGUCCUGUUUUAGAAUGUUGUCCUCUUCUGGUUGCUAUUUGAUGGAUAUGCUCAGACUGAUUUGUUUACUAACCAAACCAAAAUGAAUGGUUAAAUAGCUUUUCUGAAAAAAACAGAUGACAUGAAUUGUAAUAUCUUUGAUAUCUUUGUCAGCAACAUGGACAGUGGGAUUGAGGGCACCCUCAGCAAGUUUGCCAAUCACACUGACCUGUGAGGUGCAGGUGACAUGCUGGCAGGACAGGAUGCCAUCCAGAGGGACCUGGACAGGCUGGAGAGGUGGGACAGUGUGAACCUCAUGAAG